ACCUACGGGACGCAGCAGUGAGGAAUAUUGGUCAAUGGGAGAGAUCCUGAACCAGCCAAGCCGCGUGAGGGAAGACGGCCCUAUGGGUUGUAAACCUCUUUUGUCGGAGAACAAAACCCGGGACGUGUCCCGGACUGCGUGUAUCCGAAGAAAAAGCAUCGGCUAACUUCGUGCCAGCAGCCGCGGUAAUACGGAGGAUGCGAGCGUUAUCCGGAUUUAUUGGGUUUAAAGGGGGCGUAGGCGGUCCGUUAAGUCAGCGGUAAAAUUUCGGGGCUCAACCCCGUCGAUCCGAUGAAACU
RNAcentral lists this ribosomal RNA (299 nucleotides) under uncultured bacterium. RNAcentral describes it as "partial 16S ribosomal RNA". It matches the Rfam family "Bacterial small subunit ribosomal RNA", at positions 337 to 634 of the family's 1533-position model. The record is from RNAcentral.